This 321-nucleotide ribosomal RNA is filed under the name uncultured Prevotella sp. RNAcentral describes it as "partial 16S ribosomal RNA". The record is from RNAcentral. Lineage: Bacteria; Pseudomonadati; Bacteroidota; Bacteroidia; Bacteroidales; Prevotellaceae.
GGAGUCUGGGCCGUGUCUCAGUCCCAAUGUGGCCGUUCAUCCUCUCAGACCGGCUACCGAUCGUAGCCUUGGUGGGCCGUUACCCCGCCAACAAGCUAAUCAGACGCAUCCCCAUCCUUAACCGACAAAUUCUUUGGUCCGGGUCAGAUGCCCUCGCUGGACCACAUCGGGCAUUAAUCCGGUUUUCACCGGGCUAUUCCCAAGUUAAGGGAAGGUUGGAUACGCGUUACUCACCCGUGCGCCGGUCGCCAUCAAAGGAAGCAAGCUUCCUUCAUGCUGCCCCUCGACUUGCAUGUGUUAAGCCUGUAGCUAGCGUUCAUC